This 298-nucleotide ribosomal RNA is filed under the name uncultured bacterium. RNAcentral's name for it is "partial 16S ribosomal RNA". It matches the Rfam family "Bacterial small subunit ribosomal RNA", at positions 1 to 303 of the family's 1533-position model. The record is from RNAcentral.
GUUUAAUUGAUCAUGGCUCAGAGUGCACCGGGUAGUAGGCUAACACAUGCAAGUCGAGCGGCAGCACAGGAGAGCUUGCUCUCUGGGUGGCGAGUGGCGGACGGGUGAGGAAUACAUCGGAAUCUACUCUGUCGUGGGGGAUAACGUAGGGAAACUUACGCUAAUACCGCAUACGACCUACGGGUGAAAGCAGGGGAUCUUCGGACCUUGCGCGAUUGAAUGAGCCGAUGUCGGAUUAGCUAGUUGGCGGGGUAAAGGCCCACCAAGGCGACGAUCCGUAGCUGGUCUGAGAGGAUGA